RNAcentral lists this ribosomal RNA (360 nucleotides) under Triticum aestivum (bread wheat). RNAcentral's name for it is "partial small subunit ribosomal RNA". The record is from RNAcentral. Lineage: Eukaryota; Viridiplantae; Streptophyta; Magnoliopsida; Poales; Poaceae.
AUGUACUACGCCCGCGCGUUCAAGCGCCGCGCGAUGGCCAUCCAGCAGGCAUCACCAUCCCGGGCCGCUGGGCCACCACCCUGGCCGGACAUUCCCGCGCAGGAUCGGCCUGCUCAGGCUUCCGCGGCACCCCUCGCCGCGUCCGCGGCGCGCCCGUUCCGUCGGCUCACCUCGGCCGAGCUACUCGAGCGUCGCCGCCAAGGGUUGUGCUUCAACUGCGACGAGCCCUGCAUGCCCGGCCACGUCUGCCCGCGACUCUUCUACCUGGAGGCUGUGGACUACAUUGAGGAGGACGCCGCCGCCGCCGGGCUCGAUGACCUGCCCACCCCAGCUUACGCAGAGGUGUUUGACGUUGGUUGA